Molecule: non-coding RNA, 28 nt
Filed under: Rattus norvegicus (Norway rat)
Lineage: Eukaryota; Metazoa; Chordata; Mammalia; Rodentia; Muridae
Source: RNAcentral
UAAAGAAGUUGCCAAAACGGCUGGGCCU